UCCUUGUUGGAUUCAACUUCAAGGGGGAUGGCCGAGAGAGAACCCAGAAUAUCUCAUUCAAAGAAGGGGCAAUAUGUGGCUGAAAAUGACUGAUCAAAGAGAGGAUGAGAAAUUGCCGGAGAUCAAUAGGGCAACAGAGUUUCAGCAAUUAUGAAAUCAAAACCCUAAUUUCGUAGCUGGGAAUAGACGUGAUGUGAGAAGAAAAUUUAAAAAAGGAAAAUGUGAGAAUUUUUCCUGCCAAUGACCUGGAAUCCCAUGAG
Molecule: unclassified non-coding RNA, 260 nt
Filed under: Hevea brasiliensis (rubber tree)
Lineage: Eukaryota; Viridiplantae; Streptophyta; Magnoliopsida; Malpighiales; Euphorbiaceae
Source: RNAcentral